UACAGAGGUCUCAAGCGUUGUUCGGAUUCAUUGGGCGUAAAGGGUGUGUAGGUGGCGCGCUAAGUCGGGUGUGAAAUUUCGGAGCUUAACUCCGAAGCUGCAUUCGAUACUGGCGUGCUUGAGGACUGGAGAGGAGACUGGAAUUCAUGGUGUAGCGGUGAAAUGCGUAGAUAUCGUAAGGAAGACCAGUGGCGAAGGCGGGUCUCUGGACAGUUCCUGACACUGAGGCACGAAGGCCAGGGGAGCAAACGGGG
Molecule: ribosomal RNA, 254 nt
Filed under: uncultured bacterium
Lineage: Bacteria
Description: partial 16S ribosomal RNA
Rfam family: Bacterial small subunit ribosomal RNA
Source: RNAcentral